UCCGAUGUGGUGUAGUGGCUAACAUUGCUGUCUUUCAUAGAGAGGUGGCACUGUCAGCACAGCAGCCCGGGGUUCGAUUCCCCGCAUCGGAA
Non-coding RNA from Marasmius sp. AFHP31, 92 nucleotides. Lineage: Eukaryota; Fungi; Basidiomycota; Agaricomycetes; Agaricales; Marasmiaceae. The record is from the annotation of a GenBank genome assembly.